Long non-coding RNA from Erigeron canadensis, 1449 nucleotides. RefSeq lists it as uncharacterized. The transcript is spliced from 10 exons. The record is from RefSeq and is a predicted model, not a curated record. NCBI's taxonomy places the organism in Eukaryota, Viridiplantae, Streptophyta, Magnoliopsida, Asterales, Asteraceae.
UAUUUAAUUACUUUCUAAUAAAAUCAAUUUGAUUUUAUCACUCUCUUUCUACAUUAUUCAAAUAUCAGAUUCAAAUUUAUAUACUCUCCCCCAAAACCAAAUCUGAUACAAAUUCAUCAUUUUCAUUGACAUCUUCCAGUAUCAAAAUCUUGAUUCAAAUAUCAGAUUCAAAGUUAUUUCACCUUAAAUAGGUUGCAAUCAUAAUCUGGUUCUGGAUAGCCGGAAUUCUCGCCGGCGGUGGGCUGUCGGUCUACUCCUUAAAUAGGUUGCAAUCAUCAUUUACAUAUUGUUCAGGUGGUACACGAAAACGCGCAACAAAGACCCAUAAUCUUUUCAAUGUUGGUGAAGCAGUCAAUUUGCAAGAUGGUGAGAAUGUGGCAACCCAGUCAAAGAAAGAAGAGAGUGAGUUCUGAAGCCAUUGGCUCAGAGGAAAGUGAGUAUGAUCAAGUGGCCUUGAAAAUUCAUUCUUCUGUCUUGCCAUUUAGUAAAAGGGACCCGAGGGUAAGAGGGGUGUGGCUACAAAAAACAAUGUUACUUCAGUAUACAUGGUUUGAGGUUGUUUCUGGUUUAGGGCAAGCUUUUAGCCCAUUACCCAAUCUGCCAAAGAGGGGUUUAAGUUAAAAUUCGUAAUGUGUGUUUCGUGACUGAUCAAUUUAACUUGUGUCAUCGGAUACGAUCAUUUGUACAUGACAAGAGGUGUUGUGAGAGGGGUUGGGUCAUGAAGCAGCCAUUGCAAGUGGGUCUAUGAAGUACAUGGAAGGUUAGUACCUAUUUUCUUUCAAGAUUGUUUUUGCAAAGCGUUCGGGACAAAUUGAGUAACAAGUCAACUUUGGGUCUUAACAAUUUGUGAGCCUUAUUUAUCCCAAUAUGCAUAAUGGUACCUGAUUUUAUCUUCCAAAACUGAUAGCCAUAUACGAGUAUAUACCAGCAACAAUCACCAUUUUGAACUCAUCAUGCACCCUAAGUCAUGUGUAUACUGUGGAAAGCUUUGUGAUGACCGGGAGGUAAUUCGUGAGCUGCAAGCAGCUGAUCAAGUUGAGGAGCUAAAUUCUGAAGAAGCUAAACCUCUUGCUGUCCAACGGUGAAAAUUUACAAUUUGGAAUUAAUUCAAAGCUAGGAACAUGGGAGAGUCAACCAAGUGCUGGUGCUAAGAAAAAAUUUGAACAGCAUAUAGAGUUAGUAGGGUGGCUCGUAAGGCAUCUGAAAUUGUGCCGUUGUGCGCUUAGUAUUAUUCCAAGGAUGAAAAGAUAAAAGAGGGUAUGAAGAGUGGGAAGAAAAUUGAGUGGUUAAGUACUCAAGUGUUAAAGUCAUGAGAUUGUUUUGACGACUUUUUUCUUUCUUUUAUUAUUGUUUUGGACGAACUUGAAGCAAAAAACACAGUUACAGUUUGUUUUGUUUUGAUUUUAUGAUCAUUUAUCUAAUUAUUUAAGUAGGUUAAUUAUAGCAGUA